Unclassified non-coding RNA from Macaca fascicularis (crab-eating macaque), 158 nucleotides. It matches the Rfam family "Metazoan signal recognition particle RNA". From Rfam's summary of the family: The signal recognition particle (SRP) is a universally conserved ribonucleoprotein. It is involved in the co-translational targeting of proteins to membranes. The eukaryotic SRP consists of a 300-nucleotide 7S RNA and six proteins: SRPs 72, 68, 54, 19, 14, and 9. The record is from Ensembl. NCBI's taxonomy places the organism in Eukaryota, Metazoa, Chordata, Mammalia, Primates, Cercopithecidae.
UGCCGACCGGGUGCCUGCACUAAGUUCGGCAUCAAUAUGGUGACCUCCUGGGAGCGGGGGGGCCACCAAGUUGCCUAAGGAUGGCUGAACUGGCCCAGGUCAGAAACGGAGCAGGUCAGAACUCCUGCACCGACCGGUAGUGGGACUGGGCCUGGGCA